GAGCGCCCCGCAAGGGGAGCGGCAGACGGGAGAGUAACACGUGGGAACGUACCCUUCGGUUCGGAACAACCCAGGGAAACUUGGGCUAAUACCGGAUAAGCCCUUACGGGGAAAGAUUUAUCGCCGAAAGAUCGGCCCGCGUCUGAUUAGCUAGUUGGUGAGGUAAUGGCUCACCAAGGCGACGAUCGGUAGCUGGUCUGAGAGGACGAGCAGCCACACUGGGAUUGAGAACGGCCCAGACUCCUACGGGGGGCAGCAGUGAGGAAUUUUCGGCAAUGGGGGAAACCCUGACCGAGCAACGCCGCGUGCAGGAAGAAGGUUUUCGGAUCGUAAACUGCUUUACUGAGGGAAGAGAGAGGACGGUACCUCAGCAACAAGCCCCGGCUAACUACGUG
Molecule: ribosomal RNA, 395 nt
Filed under: uncultured bacterium
Lineage: Bacteria
Description: bacterial SSU rRNA
Rfam family: Bacterial small subunit ribosomal RNA
Source: RNAcentral